Molecule: non-coding RNA, 103 nt
Organism: Paracoccidioides brasiliensis
Lineage: Eukaryota; Fungi; Ascomycota; Eurotiomycetes; Onygenales; Ajellomycetaceae
Source: Rfam
GUGAGCCGUAUAUGUGGUGACAUGUACGUACGGUUCUUUGAGGGGAUUUAAUCGUAAGAUUAUUUUCCAUCUCUAGUGGUAAUUUUUUAUUACCUAUUUUAAU